CUCGCUAAUGGCGGACGGUGGAGGUGGUGUUCCUGUCGCAUUUGUGAUUUCACGCUAAAUAGGAAGGAAUCGGCGCUGGAUUGUUACACAACUGUUGCACCAGUGAAGGAUGUCUGUGUGCCGCCUUGCAUUCAGUUUCUCAGCCAUGGGGGCCUGCUUGCAACACCAGUGGCAAAGCAGUCUUGCAUUGUGCUAUUUGUUCUGGAAGGACACAAGCAUUGAGGAGCCAUUUGACCUGCCACUACACUAAUACGGUAUUUGG
Long non-coding RNA from Dermacentor silvarum, 262 nucleotides. RefSeq lists it as uncharacterized. Lineage: Eukaryota; Metazoa; Arthropoda; Arachnida; Ixodida; Ixodidae. The transcript has 3 exons. The record is from RefSeq and is a predicted model, not a curated record.